This 356-nucleotide long non-coding RNA is filed under the name Gossypium raimondii (Peruvian cotton). RNAcentral describes it as "long non-coding RNA (GRAI_LNC006289)". The record is from RNAcentral. Lineage: Eukaryota; Viridiplantae; Streptophyta; Magnoliopsida; Malvales; Malvaceae.
CAAAGCCCAAAUUUGCUCCAGCCCAACAAACUAAAUUAAGCCCAAUUACAGAAACAAAGCCCGGUGGCCCAAAACCUUAAAAAUUUUUGGAAUGGCCAGAAACCCUAGGGUUUCUGGCGCCCCUCGCGCCGUUGCUACCCCAUGUGCGCCUUCAGCGCGCACCACGCCCGAUGUCUGCCACCGCCAGCCCUCCUUUCACCGAAAUGGCAAGUUGACCUUGCCGUGUACCUGCAAACAAGCAACAAAAGAGAGAAAUGGAAGCAGACUAGGAAAACAGUAGCAAAAGAGGAGAUUUUCCCUCGAUUCUUCAGUUUUUCUUUCGGCUAUAAAGCCAAGUAUAUUGUAAAAUGUAGAGG